AUGUUGUCGUCGGAAGAAAUUAAUGAAGUAAAAAAAGAUUGAAAACUUGUUAGAUUUGAUUUGCAUAGAAGAAUGUAACAUCGAUGUAGAUGAAAAUUUGAUUUUACCCAUUUCCCCAAAAGCAAAGAGAAUCCAAUUAAAAGCAUCCACAUCAAAAUUAAACCCCAACAGAUGGGAGGAUGAGGUUGUUACUGAGGAUAGUACCGUACAUAAUGACAUAACAAAAUAUUUAAAUCUUAAAAUUUCAAUUGAGGAAGAGGAUAUACUUCAAAAGGAUGUCCUACUUUGGUGGAAACGACAAGAAAAAGAUUUGC
Long non-coding RNA from Gordionus sp. m RMFG-2023, 314 nucleotides. RefSeq lists it as uncharacterized. The transcript has 3 exons. The record is from RefSeq and is a predicted model, not a curated record. NCBI's taxonomy places the organism in Eukaryota, Metazoa, Nematomorpha, Gordioida, Chordodea, Parachordodidae.